Molecule: unclassified non-coding RNA, 121 nt
Filed under: Planctomycetota bacterium
Lineage: Bacteria; Pseudomonadati; Planctomycetota
Description: RNA (121-MER) from Planctomycetes bacterium (PDB 7WB1, chain D)
Source: RNAcentral
GGCGCUUUUAUCUCAUUACUUUGAGAGCCAUCACCAGCGACUAUGUCGUAUGGGUAAAGCGCUUAUUUAUCGGAGAAACCGAUAAAUAAGAAGCAUCAAAGUCCUGCAGCAGAAAAUCAAA